RNAcentral lists this transfer RNA (73 nucleotides) under Solirubrobacter pauli. It matches the Rfam family "tRNA". From Rfam's summary of the family: Transfer RNA (tRNA) molecules are approximately 80 nucleotides in length. Their secondary structure includes four short double-helical elements and three loops (D, anti-codon, and T loops). The record is from Rfam by way of RNAcentral. RNAcentral also lists the same sequence under 5 other names. Lineage: Bacteria; Bacillati; Actinomycetota; Thermoleophilia; Solirubrobacterales; Solirubrobacteraceae.
GGGGCUAUAGCUCAGUUGGGAGAGUGCCUGGAUCGCACCCAGGAGGUCGCCGGUUCGAGCCCGGCUAGCUCCA